Molecule: unclassified non-coding RNA, 350 nt
Filed under: plant metagenome
Description: partial contains 5.8S ribosomal RNA, internal transcribed spacer 2, and large subunit ribosomal RNA
Rfam family: 5.8S ribosomal RNA (bases 1-105)
Source: RNAcentral
GAAAUGCGAUAAGUAAUGUGAAUUGCAGAAUUAAGUGAAUCAUCGAAUCUUUGAACGCACCUUGCGCUCCUUGGUAUUCCGAGGAGCAUGCCUGUUUGAGUGUCAUGGAAUUCUCAACUCUAUUUGCUUUUGUGAAUAGAGCUUGGAUUUGGAGGUUUAUUGCUGGUACUUGUGAUCGGCUCCUCUUGAAUGCAUUAGCUCGAACCUUUGCGGAUCAGCUAUCGGUGUGAUAAUUGUCUACGCCGUUGCAGUGAAGCAUAUCAAUGGGCUCGGCUUCCAAUCGUCCUUUACUGGACAAUGACUUUGACCUUUGACCUCAAAUCAGGUAGGAUUACCCGCUGAACUUAGGC